RNAcentral lists this long non-coding RNA (1442 nucleotides) under Anas platyrhynchos platyrhynchos (common mallard). RNAcentral's name for it is "lncRNA (ENSAPLG00000023445.1)". Lineage: Eukaryota; Metazoa; Chordata; Aves; Anseriformes; Anatidae. The record is from RNAcentral.
CUUUCAGCUGCUGACAACCUGUGCCCUAUGCAAACCAGGGGACAUAUCAUGGAAAUGUGCAUAAAUAUUCAUGUGUGACUAACAAAACCAAAAGUGCAAGUAUGGUUAUCAGAGCUCUCGCAUGAAUAUAUUGUGGCCUGCCCUGUUGUGUUGGUUUCAGUAGGAUGAAUGUGAUGCAAAUGUUUUCAAGUAAUGUUGCCCUUAUAUCUUUGAGAGAAAAAGUCCACUGAAGGUGGUGGGACUGCAGAGGUGUGUGAGUAAGAGGAGAAUUUGUGUCCCUGCAUAAUGUAGGCAGUCCUAGACUGGUGAUGCUGUAUACCGUGGGUGAUUUACUGAAACCUUUUACUGGGAAAAAGGAGUUACUUUGUUUAAUCACUCUUUUUGCAUUUGUCUUCUAACCUGUAUGUGAAGAAUUGAAAUUCUCUCAUGAGGUCUGUCUAGAAGCUUAAGGAACACGAGAACCCAGUGAUUGACUUCAGUGCUUUAGUGUCUGAAUGAACUAAUUUCAAGAAUAGAAAACUAAUUUGGUGAAGACUUGAUAAUUUCCCACCAGUCUAGCUCCCUGAAACAGCGAAGUUUCGCCAUCAAAAACAUAUUGUUAGUCACUCUUUAGACAGAUUGUUUUACAGUUUAUCAAUAUUUCUGCAUGAGAAUAUUUAAAAACAUUUUGUUAAUAAUGCACUUUUUUUUUCCUCAGCAGAUUCUGGAUAACUGUGAUGAGAGGACAUAUUCAGAUCAUGGUACAUGAUAUGGAUAAAGAAGAUUCUGUAACAGUGGAGUCAGUGGAAAGGCCAGUGGUCAUCUUGAAACUCCUCCUUGGAGACUGCAUCUGAAUUGAGCACAUGUUGCUCACUGGCACAGAGAAUUCUCCAUUUCUUGCCUAAAUAAGUCUUCUCAGACUGUCCCUGUCCUAUAAACAGCAAAUUCAGGAGAGAAAGGACAGCAGUGCUCCUUGGCCGAACCAUGGUAAGCUGUUGUGUCCUCAUUCCUGCGGUCUAUUAUUCCAAUCUGUUCUGAGGAGGCAGAGCCUUCCUCCUGGGAAUAGAGUGUUCCCCUCUAGCAUUGGUGCCUGUUGGGCAAAUUAUUGCCUACAAGGUUAAUUAUCUGUAGAAAAUGAGCUAGAAUAUUUGGGUGUAACGAAUCAUACUCAAUCAUUACUUUUGAGGAGUGACAAGCUAAAUUUUUGCAUGUUUUGAGCUUGUUUUAGUGCGAUGCAUUUUGCUAUUUUUCUGCUUUCAUUUCUAGAUUUUGGGAAGUAAAUCAACAUGUCCCGAGCCUGUAAGCUCUUGCAAUGUUUGAUUAUGCAAAGAUUAUGCAAAGUUUAAUCUCUCCCCCAAGUUCCUGAGCUUACUGUUCCUCAGAAGGAACAGCAGGUCCUCUGGAAUCAGUACACUUGUCCCCACCUUCACCAGAUGUAAUAAUAAAACAUUAUUAUGAAAACA